RNAcentral lists this ribosomal RNA (497 nucleotides) under uncultured bacterium. RNAcentral describes it as "partial 16S ribosomal RNA". It matches the Rfam family "Bacterial small subunit ribosomal RNA", at positions 28 to 507 of the family's 1533-position model. The record is from RNAcentral.
GAUGAACGCUGGCGGCGUGCCUAAUACAUGCAAGUAGAACGCUGAAGGAAGGAGCUUGCUCUUUCCGGAUGAGUUGCGAACGGGUGAGUAACGCGUAGGUAACCUGCCUGGUAGCGGGGGAUAACUAUUGGAAACGAUAGCUAAUACCGCAUAACAGUAGAUGUUGCAUGAUAUCUACUUAAAAGGUGCAAUUGCACCACUACCAGAUGGACCUGCGUUGUAUUAGCUAGUUGGUGAGGUAACGGCUCACCAAGGCGACGAUACAUAGCCGACCUGAGAGGGUGGGCAGCCAGACUGGGACGGAGACACGGCCCAGACUCCUACGGGAGGCAGCAGGAGGGAAUCGUCAGCAAGGGACGGAAGUCUGACCGAGCAACGCCGCGGGAGGGAAGAAGGUUUUCGGGUCGUAAAGCUCGGUUGUAAGGGAAGAACGAGUGUGAGAGUGGAAAGUUCACAGUGUGACGGUAUCUUACCAGAAAGGGACGGCUAACUACGUG